RNAcentral lists this ribosomal RNA (336 nucleotides) under Craterostigmus tasmanianus. Its description in RNAcentral is "eukaryotic LSU rRNA". It matches the Rfam family "Eukaryotic large subunit ribosomal RNA", at positions 666 to 946 of the family's 3401-position model. Lineage: Eukaryota; Metazoa; Arthropoda; Chilopoda; Craterostigmomorpha; Craterostigmidae. The record is from RNAcentral.
CCAAGGAGUCUAACAUGUGCGCGAGUCGUAGGGUUACGCUCAAAGCCCGAAGGCGCAAUGAAAGUGAAGGUCGGCCUCGAUUGCCGUUACCUAGGCGGGAUCCGUUCGGGCUUACCGGUCGUUCGCGGCUGAGCCCGGCGGCGCACCGCCGGCCCGUCUCGACCGCAUCGCCGGUGAGGCGGAGCGAGAGCGUACACGUUGGGACCCGAAAGAUGGUGAACUAUGCCCGGGCAGGACGAAGCCAGAGGAAACUCUGGUGGAGGUCCGUAGCGAUUCUGACGUGCAAAUCGAUCGUCGGACCUGGGUAUAGGGGCGAAAGACUAAUCGAACCAUCUA